GUACAUUAAACCCACUUUGACUGAAGACAAAUACGGCGAUGGAUUCUUAAACAGUGGUGUUCUGAACAUAUGGGGCGCAUCACCGGCUGAUCUUUGUACUGGUAACUAUUACUAUGGCUGUGAGAGAUCGGGAAGUGCUAGCAACUACAUCAACCCUAUCCAAUCCGCCAGACUUAGGACUGUCAAAUCCUUUGCAUUUACUCACGGUAGAUUGGAAGUCGAAGCUAAGAUGCCGACUGGAGACUGGCUCU
Long non-coding RNA from Anneissia japonica, 251 nucleotides. RefSeq lists it as uncharacterized. The record is from RefSeq and is a predicted model, not a curated record. Lineage: Eukaryota; Metazoa; Echinodermata; Crinoidea; Comatulida; Comatulidae. The transcript has 3 exons.